AUGGAGCACUGGGGCAGAAGACACUGGGUGUGGAGAAACUAAGUAUGAAGAAAUGGGGUAUGGAACACUGACAAAAGAGGAACUGGGAGGGGGACAAAGGGUCCCUUAAAGGUCAGCUCAGCUAUAAUC
Non-coding RNA from Chelonoidis abingdonii (Abingdon island giant tortoise), 129 nucleotides. NCBI's taxonomy places the organism in Eukaryota, Metazoa, Chordata, Testudines, Testudinidae. The record is from RefSeq and is a predicted model, not a curated record.